RNAcentral lists this ribosomal RNA (406 nucleotides) under uncultured bacterium. Its description in RNAcentral is "partial 16S ribosomal RNA". It matches the Rfam family "Bacterial small subunit ribosomal RNA", at positions 29 to 526 of the family's 1533-position model. The record is from RNAcentral.
AUCGAACGCUGGCGGCAGGCCUAACACAUGCAAGUCGAACGAGUGGCGGACGGGUAAGCAAUGUCUGGGAAACCGCCUGAUGGAGGGGGAUAACUACUGGAAACGGUAGCUAAAACCGCAUACUAUCGGAUCUGCCCAGAUGGGAUGAGCUAGUAGGUGGUGUAAAGGCUCACCAAGGCGACGAUCCCUAGCUGGUCUGAGAGGAUGACCAGCCACACUGGAACGGAGACACGGUGCAGACUCCUACGGGAGGCAGCAGUGGGGAAUAUUGCACAAUGGGCGAAAGCCUGAUGCAGCCAUGCCGCGUGUAUGAAGAAGGCCUUCGGGUUGUAAAGUACUGUCAGCGGGGGGGCGUUACCCGCAGAAGAAGCACCGGCUAACUCCGUGCCAGCAGCCGCGGUAAUUC